GAUGAACGCUGGCGGCGUGCCUAAUACAUGCAAGUCGAGCGAACGGACGAGAAGCUUGCUUCUCUGAUGUUAGCGGCGGACGGGUGAGUAACACGUGGAUAACCUACCUAUAAGACUGGGAUAACUUCGGGAAACCGGAGCUAAUACCGGAUAAUAUUUUGAACCGCAUGGUUCAAAAGUGAAAGACGGUCUUGCUGUCACUUAUAGAUGGAUCCGCGCUGCAUUAGCUAGUUGGUAAGGUAACGGCUUACCAAGGCAACGAUGCAUAGCCGACCUGAGAGGUUGAUCGGCCACACUGGGACGGAGACACGGUCCAGACUCCUACGGGAGGCAGCAGUAGGGAAUCUUCCGCAAUGGGCGAAAGCCUGACGGAGCAAAACCGCGUGAGUGAUGAAGAUCUUCGGAUCGUAAAGCUCUGUUAUUAGGGAAGAACAUAUGUGUAAGUAACUGUGCACAUCUUGACGGUACCUAAUCAGAAAGCCAAGGCUAACUACGUG
This 497-nucleotide ribosomal RNA is filed under the name uncultured bacterium. RNAcentral describes it as "partial 16S ribosomal RNA". It matches the Rfam family "Bacterial small subunit ribosomal RNA", at positions 28 to 507 of the family's 1533-position model. The record is from RNAcentral.